ACUGCUCAGUAACACGUGGAUAACCUACCCUUAGCACGGGGAUAACCUCGGGAAACUGAGUAUAAUACCCGAUACAUAUAGGUAGCUGGAAUGCUAUUAUGCCGAAAGCUCCGGCGCCUGAGGAUGGAUCUGCGGCUGAUCAGGUAGUAGUUGGGGUAACGUACCUACUAGCCUGCGAUCGGUACGGGUUGUGAGAGCAAGAGCCCGGAGAUGGAUUCUGAGACAAGAAUCCAGGCCCUACGGGGCGCAGCAGGCGCGAAACCUCCGCAAUGCUGGCAACAGCGACGAGGGGACCUCAAGUGCCAGUAUUCACGGGGUGCCUUCUAGAAGUAAAAAACAUUCAAUAAUAAGAGCCGGGCAAGACCGGUGCCAGCCGCCGCGGUAACACCGGCAGCUCGAGUGGUGGCCACUAUUAUUGGGUCUAAAGCGUCUGUAGCCGGCCGGAUAAGUCUUUGGGAAAUCCCAUAGCUCAACAAUGGGAAUUUCAGAAGAUACUAUCAGGCUCGAGGUCGGGAGAGGUUAGGGGUACUUCCAGGGUAGGGGUGAAAUCCUAUAAUCCUGGGAGGACCACCAGUGGCGAAGGCGUCUCACCGGAACGAACCUGACGGCGAGUAACGAAAGCCAGGGGCGCGAACCGGAUUAGAUACCCGGGUAGUCCUAGCCGUAAACGAUGCUCACUAGGUGUCAGACCGGUUCGAGCUGUGGUCAGUGCCGUAGGGAAGCCGUUAAGUUAGCCGCCUGGGAAGUACGGUCGCAAGGCUGAAACUUAAAGGAAUUGGCGGGGGAGCA
RNAcentral lists this ribosomal RNA (789 nucleotides) under uncultured archaeon. Its description in RNAcentral is "partial 16S ribosomal RNA". It matches the Rfam family "Archaeal small subunit ribosomal RNA", at positions 85 to 878 of the family's 1478-position model. The record is from RNAcentral.